CCUACGGGAGGCAGCAGUGGGGAAUCUUGCGCAAUGGGCGAAAGCCUGACGCAGCCAUGCCGCGUGAAUGAUGAAGGUCUUAGGAUUGUAAAAUUCUUUCACCGGGGACGAUAAUGACGGUACCCGGAGAAGAAGCCCCGGCUAACUUCGUGCCAGCAGCCGCGGUAAUACGAAGGGGGCUAGCGUUGCUCGGAAUUACUGGGCGUAAAGGGAGCGUAGGCGGAUAGUUUAGUCAGAGGUGAAAGCCCAGGGCUCAACCUUGGAAUUGCCUUUGAUACUGGCUAUCUUGAGUACGGAAGAGGUAUGUGGAACUCCGAGUGUAGAGGUGAAAUUCGUAGAUAUUCGGAAGAACACCAGUGGCGAAGGCGACAUACUGGUCCGUUACUGACGCUGAGGCUCGAAAGCGUGGGGAGCAAACAGGAUUAGAUACCCUGGUAGUCCACGCUGUAAACGAUGAGUGCUAGUUGUCGGCAUGCAUGCAUGUCGGUGACGCAGCUAACGCAUUAAGACACCUCCGCCGUCGGGGAGGUACGGUCCGGCGAAGAAUUAAAACUAACAAAGGAAAGUUAGUACGGCGNGAGACGUGCCGAACGGACGACGACGAGGGAGGAGG
Molecule: ribosomal RNA, 613 nt
Filed under: uncultured bacterium
Lineage: Bacteria
Description: bacterial SSU rRNA
Rfam family: Bacterial small subunit ribosomal RNA (bases 1-519)
Source: RNAcentral